This 1295-nucleotide long non-coding RNA is filed under the name Sparus aurata (gilthead seabream). Its description in RNAcentral is "lncRNA (ENSSAUG00010022310.1)". Lineage: Eukaryota; Metazoa; Chordata; Actinopteri; Spariformes; Sparidae. The record is from RNAcentral.
ACCCAAACCAUGCACGUGGCUCAACAACAGCUUUGCACUCAAAUGUCAAAUCAGACGGGUAAUAAUUAAUUUAAACCAGUUCCUUAUAGUUUAUGAUUAAAUAAAUUUCCUUGAAGAUGCUUCCAGGCCACAUGAAUUGAUCUGAAUGAUCCCUCACCAGCAGUGUUGAUCUCUUCGGUUCUGGUUCUGGUCUCGUGGGAGUGAGGGUUGUAGACGACACAGGUUACAGACUUUAACCCAGUCAGACUGACAGAGCUUGUGAUGGAGAAGAUUUUUUCUGUUGGAUCCUGCUUCAAGAAUGUCUCAGCAUCCUGCAGGUCCUGCUCUUCAUCACUGGAUCUGUUCAGACCCUUCCAUGAUACCUGAGCUGCAGGGUAUCCUCCUCGUGGUGAGCAGGUUGCACUGUUGGUAAUGUCCUUAACCGUCAGGACCAGAUUCUGGUAGGGAGCUGUGAGUGUGACAGAAAGAACAACUGAGACAUUUACAGCACUUUGAUAUGAGGAGAGAUUUAUUGAGGUUUGUUGUAAAGAAGAUUCUCAGAUUACCUGAAACCUGCAGGAUGGAUCUGCACCGUUGUUCAGACAGUUUGGCGACUUUUUUCUGCUCAUCGUAAAAAUGUACGAAGGCAAAGAAUGUUUUCUGAUCAUCUUCAGGAGAAAUGUUGUCAAGUCUGAGGGAAGUGUUUCCAGAACUAAACCCAGAAUUGAAGACUUGGAAUCUGCCUUUGUAUUUGUCACAUCCUGGCAAUGUGUUCCCACUGUCCCAGUGACACAAAAGGUUAGGAGACUGGUCCUCCUUCCAGUAAAAUGUCAGUGGAUUACCAGGAAGAGAACAGGGAAUUAGGACAGAUCCUCCAACAGCUGCCCUGAGAAGCUGCUCUGAGAUCAGACCUGUAAUGUGUGCUAGAAUAGAAAAUAUGGUUGUCAUCAUAAAGUGAAAUGAUGAGUGCCAUCAAAACACUGAGAAUGUCACAAAAGUAAACCUGUAACAUGAACAGAUCAUGAAAAAACAAACUGCAUACAUUUAUAAACACUCAGGUUCAUCAGAAUCACAGGUGUCACGUUUGGCUACAACUAUAAUGUGCUUUACUGUGGCUGCAAUGACAAGCAGUGAGGGGCCGUCCAGACGGGCGAAAACAUUCUUUUUUGCCUCCGUCUUCCUCGUAAUCGUUUUAAGAAUAUUUGCGUCCACACGGAUCCACUGAAAACGACCGAAAACACUGUAGGCCUCUAGGUGGCGCUUGACAUUCACCAAAAAUGGAGAAGAAGAGACGGAGCAUGCGCAUUAAGCUUGCG